UUAGGUUAAGUUAUGAAGGGCGCAUGGUGAAUGCCUUGGUACUAGGAGCCGAUGAAGGACGGGACUAACACCGAUAUGCUUCGGGGAGCGGUAAGUACGCUUUGAUCCGGAGAUUUCCGAAUGGGGAAACCUAAUCAGCUUAGUCGCUGAUUACUUGACUAGUGAAUACAUAGCUAGCAAGAGGUAGACGCAGUGAACUGAAACAUCUUAGUAGCUGCAGGAAGAGAAAGAAACAUCGAUUCCCUGAGUAGCGGCGAGCGAAAAGGGAAGAGCCCAAACCAACAAGCUUGCUUGUUGGGGUUGUAGGACUGAACAUUAGAGUUACCAAAGUGCGACGUAGUCGCAACAGUUGGGAAGCUGUGCCAUAGAGGGUGAAAGCCCCGUAGACGAAACGUCACACUCUCUGUUCAGGAUCCUGAGUACGGCGGGACACGUGAAACCCCGUCGGAACCCGCGAGGACCAUCUCGCAAGGCUAAAUACUCCCUAGUGACCGAUAGUGAACCAGUACCGUGAGGGAAAGGUGAAAAGCACCCCGGAAGGGGAGUGAAAUAGUUCCUGAAACCAUGUGCCUACAAGCUGUCGGAGCCCGUUAAUGGGUGACGGCGUGCCUCUUGCAGAAUGAACCGGCGAGUUACGAUUGCAUGCAAGGUUAAGGUGGAAAAACCGGAGCCGUAGCGAAAGCGAGUCUUAAAUGGGCGUAAGAAGUAUGUAGUUGUAGACCCGAAACCAGGUGACCUACCCAUGUCCAGGUUGAAGGUGCGGUAAAGCGCACUGGAGGACCGAACCCGUGUCAGUUGAAAAUGGCUGGGAUGAGGUGUGGGUAGCGGUGAAAUUCCAAACGAACUUGGAGAUAGCUGGUUCUCUCCGAAAUCUCUUUAGGGGGAGCCUUGAGGUAAAGAAUCGUGGAGGUAGAGCUACUGUUUGGACAAGGGGCCCGUCAUGGGUUACCAACUUCAGAUAAACUCCGAAUGCCAUCGAUUUAUACUCAGGAGUCAGACGAUGAGUGAUAAGAUCCACCGUCGAAAGGGGAACAGCCCAGAUCACCAGUUAAGGUCCCUAAAUAUAUGCUAAGUGGAAAAGGAUGUGGAGUUGCAUAGACAACUAGGAUGUUGGCUUAGAAGCAGCCACCAUUUAAAGAGUGCGUAAUAGCUCACUAGUCGAGUGAUCCUGCGCCGAAAAUGUACCGGGGCUAAGCAUAUUACCGAAACUGUGGAUGUGCACUAUGUGCACGUGAUAGGAGAGCGUUCUAAGGGCGGCGAAGUCAGACCGUGAGGACUGGUGGAGCGCUUAGAAGUGAGAAUGCCGGUAUGAGUAGCGAAAGACAGGUGAGAAUCCUGUCCACCGAAUGACUAAGGUUUCCUGGGGAAGGCUCGUCCUCCCAGGGUAAGUCGGGACCUAAGCCGAGGCCGAGAGGCGUAGGCGAUGGAUAACAGGUUGAGAUUCCUGUACCAGUUAACUGCGUUUGACGAUGGAGGGACGCAGGAGGCUAAGCAAACCGUACGACUGGAAGAGUACGGCCAAGCAGUAAGUCAGGAUGUGAGUCAAAUGUUUACAUCCGCGUUGACAAGCUGUGAUGGGGAGCGAAAUUAAAGUAGCGAAGUUGCCGAUGUCACACUGCCGAGAAAAGCUUCUAAGGAGUAGUUAACUGCCCGUACCGCAAACCGACACAGGUAGUCGAGGAGAGAAUCCUAAGGUGAGCGAGAGAACUCUCGUUAAGGAACUCGGCAAAAUGACCCCGUAACUUCGGGAGAAGGGGUGCUGGCCGCAAGGCCAGCCGCAGUGAAUAGGCCCAGGCGACUGUUUAUCAAAAACACAGGUUUCUGCAAAAUCGUAAGAUGAAGUAUAGGGGCUGACGCCUGCCCGGUGCUGGAAGGUUAAAAGGAUGGGUUAGCUUCGGCGAAGCUCAGAAUUGAAGCCCCAGUAAACGGCGGCCGUAACUAUAACGGUCCUAAGGUAGCGAAAUUCCUUGUCGGGUAAGUUCCGACCCGCACGAAAGGCGUAACGA
Molecule: ribosomal RNA, 2006 nt
Filed under: Limosilactobacillus reuteri
Lineage: Bacteria; Bacillati; Bacillota; Bacilli; Lactobacillales; Lactobacillaceae
Description: bacterial LSU rRNA
Rfam family: Bacterial large subunit ribosomal RNA
Source: RNAcentral